RNAcentral lists this ribosomal RNA (253 nucleotides) under uncultured bacterium. RNAcentral describes it as "partial 16S ribosomal RNA". It matches the Rfam family "Bacterial small subunit ribosomal RNA", at positions 524 to 776 of the family's 1533-position model. The record is from RNAcentral.
UACGUAGGGGGCAAGCGUUGUCCGGAUUUAUUGGGCGUAAAGAGCGUGUAGGCGGCCAUACAGGUCCGUUGUGAAAACUCGAGGCUUAACCUCGAGACGUCGAUGGAAACCGUAUGGCUAGAGUCCGGAAGAGGAGAGUGGAAUUCCCGGUGUAGCGGUGAAAUGCGCAGAUAUCGGGAGGAACACCAAUGGCGAAGGCAGCUCGCUGGGACGUUACUGACGCUGAGACGCGAAAGCGUGGGGAGCAAACAGG